UACGAAGGGGGCUAGCGUUGCUCGGAAUCACUGGGCGUAAAGGGCGCGUAGGCGGCCUGCUAAGUCGGACGUGAAAUCCCUCGGCUCAACCGGGGAACUGCGUCCGAUACUGGUUGGCUUGAAUUCGGGAGAGGGAUGCGGAAUUCCAGGUGUAGCGGUGAAAUGCGUAGAUAUCUGGAGGAACACCGGUGGCGAAGGCGGCAUCCUGGACCGAGAUUGACGCUGAUGCGCGAAAGCCAGGGGAGCAAACGGG
RNAcentral lists this ribosomal RNA (253 nucleotides) under uncultured bacterium. RNAcentral describes it as "partial 16S ribosomal RNA". It matches the Rfam family "Bacterial small subunit ribosomal RNA", at positions 524 to 776 of the family's 1533-position model. The record is from RNAcentral.